GCCGUAGUACUGGAGCAGUACGCCCGAGUGAGCGUCCACAUUUGGCCAUGGGUUCUGCACCUUACCAAGUUCAGUGAGGAUUGGAGGCACAACAUUGUACAACUUGGCAACAAGCUGUGAAAUAAAAGUUAAAUUUAAGCCGAUCAGCCGAGAAGGACGGACAACUACAGCUGGCUGCCUCCCGCUGGGAAGUUCACCCCAACCAAUGACAUCACAACCAAUUACACAGCUUUUCAGUCACAUGACUUUUUAGCAACUUUAACCCUUAUUUUUUACACAUUUUGGUCCAAUUUAUUAAAAAAUAUCAUUACCACAGUGAA
Molecule: long non-coding RNA, 320 nt
Organism: Homarus americanus (American lobster)
Lineage: Eukaryota; Metazoa; Arthropoda; Malacostraca; Decapoda; Nephropidae
Exons: 2
Source: RefSeq, a predicted model, not a curated record